GGCACAGGGUGGUGGUGGGACCACUCUAGCCGUCUUAUAACACUCAUACUAGUGGGAAUUAGCCAGGUUCCAUGAGAACUGCAUGAACCCAUUCUGAUGCUGAUACGGCCAGAGAUCUGAAAACCUGCUCUUGGGCCCCACUUAAGAUCUGACUACCUCCUGUCCUUGCUACCCUGAGACCCAAGCUUCUUGUUCAGGAGUCCUCUGGGGAGAAACAUGGAAGUCAUAAUGAAUGGCGUUUGCCCGAGAGUGAGAGCUGGCGGCCAAAAGGAAAGUCAACUACACAGGUAGAUGAUGGAAAUCCAGUAGAUAGCACAGGCCUGGUCCCCAGAAGCCGCUGAACCAAGCGAUUCCUUCACCACCACCUGGAAAGUGAGCAGGAAAUGAACAUCUUCACAGAUUACAGGUCAUCAUCGAGGGAAGCAAAGGCAAGCAUCUGGAGGCAGGAAACGGAAGCAGAAACCACAGAGAAAGAACAUGAAACCUGCAUGCAGCUCAAGGCUCUCAGCAUUUACAUAGCAGAGAAACAGCCGUCCAGUGCGGCCUCUACUGAAGGGCAGCGUGCGGCAGGGCGCACGG
Non-coding RNA from Myodes glareolus (Bank vole), 579 nucleotides. The record is from RefSeq and is a predicted model, not a curated record. NCBI's taxonomy places the organism in Eukaryota, Metazoa, Chordata, Mammalia, Rodentia, Cricetidae.